Molecule: transfer RNA, 85 nt
Filed under: Actinomadura cremea
Lineage: Bacteria; Bacillati; Actinomycetota; Actinomycetes; Streptosporangiales; Thermomonosporaceae
Description: tRNA-Sec
Source: RNAcentral
UCCGGUUCUGGCCGGGGCGCAGGCCAGGUUUCAGGCCGGGCCUCGGGACGGGGCUCGGGCCAGGGUUCGGCCCGAGCAUCGGACC